GGGCCCGUAGCUCAGCGGUAGAGCGGCCGGCUCAUAACUGGUUGCGCGUAGGUUCGAAUCCUACCGGGCCCACCA
RNAcentral lists this transfer RNA (75 nucleotides) under Vulcanimicrobiaceae bacterium. RNAcentral describes it as "tRNA-Ile". It matches the Rfam family "tRNA". From Rfam's summary of the family: Transfer RNA (tRNA) molecules are approximately 80 nucleotides in length. Lineage: Bacteria; Bacillati; Vulcanimicrobiota; Vulcanimicrobiia; Vulcanimicrobiales; Vulcanimicrobiaceae. RNAcentral also lists the same sequence under 2 other names. The record is from RNAcentral.